AUUGAACGCUGGCGGCAGGCCUAGCACAUGCAAGUCGAACGGGAACAGGAAGCAGCUUGCUGCUUCGCUGACGAGUGGCGGACGGGUGAGUAAUGUCUGGGAAACUGCCUGAUGGAGGGGGAUAACUACUGGAAACGGUAGCUAAUACCGCAUAACGUCGCAAGACCAAAGAGGGGGACCUUCGGGCCUCUUGCCAUCGGAUGUGCCCAGAUGGGAUUAGCUAGUAGGUGGGGUAACGGCUCACCUAGGCGACGAUCCCUAGCUGGUCUGAGAGGAUGACCAGCCACACUGGAACUGAGACACGGUCCAGACUCCUACGGGAGGCAGCAGUGGGGAAUAUUGCACAAUGGGCGCAAGCCUGAUGCAGCCAUGCCGCGUGUAUGAAGAAGGCCUUCGGGUUGUAAAGUACUUUCAGCGGGGAGGAAGGCGAUAAGGUUAAUAACCUUGUCGAUUGACGUUACCCGCAGAAGAAGCACCGGCUAACUCCGUGCCAGCCGCCGCCGUAA
This 506-nucleotide ribosomal RNA is filed under the name uncultured bacterium. RNAcentral's name for it is "partial 16S ribosomal RNA". It matches the Rfam family "Bacterial small subunit ribosomal RNA", at positions 30 to 523 of the family's 1533-position model. The record is from RNAcentral.